GCCUGGGAAACUGGGUCUAAUACCGGAUAUGACUUCUCAUCGCAUGGUGGGGGGUGGAAAGCUUUUGUGGUUUUGGAUGGACUCGCGGCCUAUCAGCUUGUUGGUGGGGUAAUGGCCUACCAAGGCGACGACGGGUAGCCGGCCUGAGAGGGUGACCGGCCACACUGGGACUGAGACACGGCCCAGACUCCUACGGGAGGCAGCAGUGGGGAAUAUUGCACAAUGGGCGCAAGCCUGAUGCAGCGACGCCGCGUGAGGGAUGACGGCCUUCGGGUUGUAAACCUCUUUCAGUAGGGAAGAAGCCCUCUUUUGGGGGUGACGGUACUUGCAGAAGAAGCGCCGGCUAACUACGUGCCAGCAGCCGCGGUAAUACGUAGGGCGCAAGCGUUAUCCGGAAUUAUUGGGCGUAAAGAGCU
Molecule: ribosomal RNA, 416 nt
Filed under: Arthrobacter sp. acu24
Lineage: Bacteria; Bacillati; Actinomycetota; Actinomycetes; Micrococcales; Micrococcaceae
Description: bacterial SSU rRNA
Rfam family: Bacterial small subunit ribosomal RNA
Source: RNAcentral